This 239-nucleotide long non-coding RNA is filed under the name Capsicum annuum. RNAcentral describes it as "long non-coding RNA (CANN_LNC015225)". The record is from RNAcentral. Lineage: Eukaryota; Viridiplantae; Streptophyta; Magnoliopsida; Solanales; Solanaceae.
CUUAGCUGUAAACUGUACCUGUUGAGCCUUCAUAUCGAUCACAAACUGUGCUUGUUGAGCCAUAAACUGCUUAAGCAUUUCCUCCAUAUUACUAUUCAAAGUAGUCGCCUGAUUGUUUUGAAUCGGCUGUGGAUUUGGUUGCACUGGUCCCUUAUACUGAUUUAAAUUGUGCGCUUGAUUUCCACCCCAUGAGAAAUUAGGGUGGUUCCUUCAAUUUGGAUUAUAUGUACUGCCAAAAU